Molecule: ribosomal RNA, 569 nt
Filed under: uncultured bacterium
Lineage: Bacteria
Description: partial 16S ribosomal RNA
Rfam family: Bacterial small subunit ribosomal RNA
Source: RNAcentral
UGGGGAAUAUUGGACAAUGGGCGCAAGCCUGAUCCAGCAAUGCCGCGUGUGUGAAGAAGGCCUUCGGGUUGUAAAGCACUUUUAUCAGGAGCGAAACGCUGUCGGCUAAUACCCGGCGGAACUGACGGUACCUGAGGAAUAAGCACCGGCUAACUUCGUGCCAGCAGCCGCGGUAAUACGAAGGGUGCAAGCGUUAAUCGGAAUUACUGGGCGUAAAGCGUGCGUAGGCGGUUUCUUAAGUCUGCUGUGAAAUCCCCGGGCUCAACCUGGGAAUGGCAGUGGAUACUGGGAGGCUAGAGUGUGUCAGAGGGUGGUGGAAUUCCCGGUGUAGCGGUGAAAUGCGUAGAGAUCGGGAGGAACAUCAGUGGCGAAGGCGGCCACCUGGGACAACACUGACGCUGAGGCACGAAAGCGUGGGGAGCAAACAGGAUUAGGAUACCCUGGUAGUCCACGCCCUAAACGAUGCGAACUGGAUGUUGGUCUCAACUCGGAGAUCAGUGUCGAAGCUAACGCGUUAAGUUCGCCGCCUGGGGAGUACGGUCGCAAGACUGAAACUCAAAUGAAUUGAC